UGGGGAAUAUUGCACAAUGGAGGGAACUCUGAUGCAGCGACGCCGCGUGAACGAAGAAGGCUUUCGAGUCGUAAAGUUCUUUUAUAUGGGAAGAUAAUGACGGUACCAUAAGAAAAAGCCCCGGCUAACUACGUGCCAGCAGCCGCGGUAAUACGUAGGGGGCUAGCGUUGUCCGGAAUCACUGGGCGUAAAGGGUUCGCAGGCGGAAAUGCAAGUCAGGUGUAAAAGGCAGUAGCUUAACUACUGUAAGCAUUUGAAACUACAUAUCUUGAGAAGAGUAGAGGUAAGUGGAAUUUUUAGUGUAGCGGUGAAAUGCGUAUAUAUUAAAAAGAAUACCGGUGGCGAAGGCGACUUACUGGGCUCAUUCUGACGCUGAGGAACGAAAGCGUGGGUAGCAAACAGG
This 403-nucleotide ribosomal RNA is filed under the name bacterium. RNAcentral's name for it is "partial 16S ribosomal RNA". It matches the Rfam family "Bacterial small subunit ribosomal RNA", at positions 355 to 776 of the family's 1533-position model. The record is from RNAcentral.